Molecule: ribosomal RNA, 694 nt
Filed under: Agaricus bisporus (cultivated mushroom)
Lineage: Eukaryota; Fungi; Basidiomycota; Agaricomycetes; Agaricales; Agaricaceae
Description: eukaryotic LSU rRNA
Rfam family: 5.8S ribosomal RNA (bases 292-445)
Source: RNAcentral
GGUACUGGAUAAUGUUCUUCUAGAAGGGUUGAAGCUGGCUUUCGGAUAUUUGCACGCCUGUCUGGAUUCAUUUUCUCCACCUGUGCACCUUUUGUAGUCUUUUUCAGGUAUUGGAGGAAGUGGUCAGCCUAUCAGCUCUUUGCUGGAUGUAAGGACUUGCAGUGUGAAAACAGUGCUGUCCUUUACCUUGGCCAUGGAAUCUUUUUCCUGUUAGAGUCUAUGUUAUUCAUUAUACUCUUAGAAUGUCAUUGAAUGUCUUUACAUGGGCUAUGCCUAUGAAAAUUAUUAUACAACUUUCAGCAACGGAUCUCUUGGCUCUCGCAUCGAUGAAGAACGCAGCGAAAUGCGAUAAGUAAUGUGAAUUGCAGAAUUCAGUGAAUCAUCGAAUCUUUGAACGCAUCUUGCGCUCCUUGGUAUUCCGAGGAGCAUGCCUGUUUGAGUGUCAUUAUAUUCUCAACUCUCCAAUACUUUGUUGUAAAGGAGAGCUUGGAUUGUGGAGGUUUGCUGGCUCCUUACUUGGGGUCAGCUCCUCUGAAAUGCAUUAGCGGAAUCGUCUGCGAUCUGCCACAAGUGUGAUAACUUAUCUACACUGGCGAGGGGAUUGCUUUCUGAUGUUCAGCUUCUAAUCGUCUAAGGACAAUUUCUUGAAUGCUUGACCUCAAAUCAGGUAGGACUACCCGCUGAACUUAAGCUU